GUCGAACGGCAGCACGGGGGCAACCCUGGUGGCGAGUGGCGAACGGGCGAGUAAUACAUCGGAACGUGUCCUGUAGUGGGGGAUAGCCCGGCGAAAGCCGGAUUAAUACCGCAUACGAUCUACGGAAGAAAGCGGGGGAUCUUCGGACCUCGCGCUAUAGGGGCGGCCGAUGGCAGAUUAGCUAGUUGGUGGGGUAAAGGCCUACCAAGGCGACGAUCUGUAGCUGGUCUGAGAGGACGACCAGCCACACUGGGACUGAGACACGGCCCAGACUCCUACGGGAGGCAGCAGUGGGGAAUUUUGGACAAUGGGGGCAACCCUGAUCCAGCAAUGCCGCGUGUGUGAAGAAGGCCUUCGGGUUGUAAAGCACUUUUGUCCGGAAAGAAAACCUCUUGGUUAAUACCUGAGGGGGAUGACGGUACCGGAAGAAUAAGCACCGGCUAACUACGUGCCAGCAGCCGCGGUAAUACGUAGGGUGCGAGCGUUAAUCGGAAUUACUGGGCGUAAAGCGUGCGCAGGCGGUCUGUUAAGACCGAUGUGAAAUCCCCGGGCUUAACCUGGGAACUGCAUUGGUGACUGGCAGGCUUUGAGUGUGGCAGAGGGAGGUAGAAUUCCACGUGUAGCAGUG
This 628-nucleotide ribosomal RNA is filed under the name Caballeronia glathei. Its description in RNAcentral is "bacterial SSU rRNA". It matches the Rfam family "Bacterial small subunit ribosomal RNA", at positions 61 to 683 of the family's 1533-position model. Lineage: Bacteria; Pseudomonadati; Pseudomonadota; Betaproteobacteria; Burkholderiales; Burkholderiaceae. The record is from RNAcentral.